UUUUAUUAAACUUUAUGUAAAUUUUUUACUGAAAUUUUAUUUUUCUAACUUUUUGAGAUGCAAAAUUUUUAAUUAAAUUUUUAUAAUAAAGUUCUUCUAAUAUUUUUUUUUUCAAUUUAUAAUAUAGUGAAUCUAUUUAAUCUUUUUUGAGAUAUUGUUGAUCUUAAGUAAGAUUUUAUUAAUUUUAAUUUUAAAUUUUUUUUUCUACCGAAGCAACACUUAUUAAAAUUAUUAAUAUUAUUCUAAAAGUAAUAUAUGCAUUUGAAAAAGAGUCGAGUCAUUUUAUAUGAUUGAGUAUGUCC
RNAcentral lists this long non-coding RNA (302 nucleotides) under Elaeis guineensis (African oil palm). Its description in RNAcentral is "long non-coding RNA (EGUI_LNC032401)". The record is from RNAcentral. Lineage: Eukaryota; Viridiplantae; Streptophyta; Magnoliopsida; Arecales; Arecaceae.